UACGUAGGGAGCAAGCGUUGUCCGGAAUCAUUGGGCGUAAAGCGCGCGUAGGUGGCUUCAUAAGUCCGUUGUGAAAGUCAAAGGCUCAACCUUUGAAAGCCGAUGGAUACUGUGGAUCUAGAGUACGGAAGAGGCGAGUGGAAUUCCUGGUGUAGCGGUGGAAUGCGUAGAGAUCCCCAAGAACACCAGUUGCGAAGGCGGCCGACUGGACACAUAUUGACGCUGAGGCUCGAAAGCAUGGGGAGCAAACAGG
RNAcentral lists this ribosomal RNA (253 nucleotides) under uncultured bacterium. RNAcentral describes it as "partial 16S ribosomal RNA". It matches the Rfam family "Bacterial small subunit ribosomal RNA", at positions 524 to 776 of the family's 1533-position model. The record is from RNAcentral.